This 278-nucleotide ribosomal RNA is filed under the name uncultured Rikenellaceae bacterium. RNAcentral describes it as "partial 16S ribosomal RNA". It matches the Rfam family "Bacterial small subunit ribosomal RNA", at positions 511 to 788 of the family's 1533-position model. Lineage: Bacteria; Pseudomonadati; Bacteroidota; Bacteroidia; Bacteroidales; Rikenellaceae. The record is from RNAcentral.
GCAGCCGCGGUAAUACGGGGGAUGCAAGCGUUAUCCGGAUUUAUUGGGUUUAAAGGGUGCGUAGGCGGUCUGGUAAGUCAGCGGUGAAAUUUAGGGGCUCAACCUCUACCGUGCCGUUGAUACUGCCGGGCUAGAAUGCGGAUGCCGUGGGAGGAAUGUGUGGUGUAGCGGUGAAAUGCAUAGAUAUCACACAGAACACCGAUUGCGAAGGCAUCUCACGAAUCCGCAAUUGACGCUGAGGCACGAAAGCGUGGGGAUCAAACAGGAUUAGAUACCCC